AUGGGCCCUCUUGUGGUACACCGACAUGUCAUCGGUGUAACUAUUUACACUCCGAAGGACGGUGCCUAUAUCCUGGUAGUAGUACUAGUAGAAUUGAGAUUUAAUGCACUUUCUUCCCCGUCUUCCACUCUUCUUCCUCCGCUCUUCUUCUUCCUCCUCUCUUCCCCAUCGUCGGCCGCACACCAUUUACCCCCGCUCACUGCUCACCCGCCCGCGCCAUCUUCCUUGGUAGCUUGCGCUUUGAAGCACUCCCUUGGUUUGAAGGAUAGAUACCUUCCUGGGAUCAAGUGCAUCCUAACUCACCUGCUACCAUAUAACUGGAAUUACCGAUGCAAGUCGAAGAAGGAUUGGACGGUGCUGCCGGCUGGCGUCAAGUUCGAUCCCACGGAUCAGGAGCUGAUCGAGCACCUUGAGGCCAAAGUCAGUAUCACACUGAGUGGCCUAAGGAAGCAUUUCUUCCAGUGCAAUUCCAGGGCGUUCAAAAGGGGCAUGUGGACGCGUCGCAAGAUACAGUCGGAGUGCGGCAUGCACGCGAUGUGGCACAAGACCGGCAAUACCUUGCCUGUGAUGGUCAACGGCCGGCAGACGGCAGCAGAAAAGGUUCUGGUGCUGCACACCAACAAGAACUUUGACCAGCAGAGGACCAACUGGGUGAUGCAGCAAUACCACCUCGGGGACCUGGAGCAAGAGAAGGAGCGGGAGCUGUUGUACUACCUUCUCGUCCGCAAGUUGGUAUUGUUGUUAACGAUCUUUUGGUCGACCAAGUUUCAACUGGGCUGUAGACUGCCCAGGGUUGGUUUUGUUUUUAACAGGCCCAGCCCAUGA
This 825-nucleotide ribosomal RNA is filed under the name Triticum aestivum (bread wheat). Its description in RNAcentral is "partial small subunit ribosomal RNA". Lineage: Eukaryota; Viridiplantae; Streptophyta; Magnoliopsida; Poales; Poaceae. The record is from RNAcentral.